RNAcentral lists this ribosomal RNA (1536 nucleotides) under Triticum aestivum (bread wheat). RNAcentral describes it as "partial small subunit ribosomal RNA". Lineage: Eukaryota; Viridiplantae; Streptophyta; Magnoliopsida; Poales; Poaceae. The record is from RNAcentral.
AUGGAUGAUACCCUCAAGUCGCUGUCCAUGGACUACCUCAACCUGCUCAUCAACGGCCAGGCCUUCAGCGACGUGACCUUCAGCGUGGAGGGCCGCCUGGUGCACGCGCACCGCUGCAUCCUCGCCGCGCGCAGCCUCUUCUUCCGCAAGUUCUUCUGCGGCGCCGCCGCGGACCAGGCCGCCGCCGCAGCCGCCGCCGGCUCCCCGGGCGCGGUGCUCAUGGACCACCUCAGCCCGCGCUCCCCCUCCGGCGCAUCCGCCUCCUCCCCGCGCGGCGCCGGAGGCUCCGGGUCCGGCUCGGCCUCCGCAGCGGCGAUGGCGCCCGGCGCCGUGAUACCGGUCAACUCGGUGAGCUACGAGGUGUUCCUGCUGCUGCUCCAGUUCCUGUACAGCGGGCAGGUGUCGCUGGUGCCGCAGAAGGGGGAGCCGAGGCCCGGGUGCGGCGAGCGCGGCUGCUGGCACACCCACUGCGCCGCCGCCGUCGACCUGGCCCUCGACACGCUCGCCGUCGCCCGCUCCUUCGGCGUCGAGGAGCUCGCCGUCCUCACCCAGAAGCAGCUGGCGGGCAUGGUGGAGAAGGCGUCCAUCGAGGACGUGAUGAAGGUGCUCAUGGCGUCGCGCAAGCAGGACCUGCACCAGCUCUGGAACACCUGCUCCCACCUCGUCGCCAAGUCCGGCCUCCCGCCGGAGGUGCUCGCCAAGCACCUCCCCCUCGACGUCGUCGCCAAGAUCGACGACCUGCGCCUCAAGUCCUCCAUGUCCCGCCGCUCCCCCUUCCUCGCCCACCACCAGCAGCACCACCACCAGGGCUCCGUCAUCGAGGCCUCCGCGGCCGAGCUCGACGACCACAACAAGAUCCGCCGGAUGCGCCGCGCGCUCGACUCCUCCGACGUCGAGCUCGUCAAGCUCAUGGUCAUGGGGGAGGGGCUCAACCUCGACGAGGCACUCGCGCUGCACUACGCCGUCGAGAACUGUAGCCGGGAAGUGGUCAAGGCGUUGCUGGAGCUGGGCGCCGCUGACGUCAACCACCCGGCUGGGCCCGCCGGGAAGACGCCGCUGCACGUCGCGGCCGAGAUGGUCUGCCCGGACAUGGUGGCCGUGCUCCUCGACCACCACGCCGACCCCAACGUGCGCACCGUCGACGGGGUCACGCCGCUCGACAUCCUCCGUACGCUCACCUCCGACUUCCUCUUCAAGGGCGCCGUGCCGGGGCUCACCCACAUCGAGCCCAACAAGCUCCGCCUGUGCCUCGAGCUCGUGCAAUCGGCGGCCAUGGUCAUGUCCAGGGAGGACGCGGCCGGCAAUGCGCCGGUGCCCAUGUACAGCGACCACCACCCGGGCGCUGGCGGCGGUGGCGUGUACAGCGGCACCGGUGGCGCGAGCACGAGCAUGAACCUGAGCUUGGACAACAGGAUGGUGUACCUCAACCUAGGGAUGGACGUGAUGAACCACGGCGACGGCGGGGGCGACGACGGCGGGAGCAGAUCAGGGCAAGGAGGUCCCUCUUCGUUGUUCUCCCCUCAUGGCUUCCCAUGA